GACGAACGCUGGCGGCGUGCUUAACACAUGCAAGUCGAACGCUGAAGCUUGGUGCUUGCACUGGGUGGAUGAGUGGCGAACGGGUGAGUAAUACGUGAGUAACCUGCCCUUGACUCUGGGAUAAGCCUGGGAAACUGGGUCUAAUACUGGAUACGACUUGUCACCGCAUGGUGGUUUUUGGAAAGGGUUUUACUGGUUUUGGAUGGGCUCACGGCCUAUCAGCUUGUUGGUGGGGUAAUGGCUCACCAAGGCGGCGACGGGUAGCCGGCCUGAGAGGGUGACCGGCCACACUGGGACUGAGACACGGCCCAGACUCCUACGGGAGGCAGCAGUGGGGAAUAUUGCACAAUGGGCGGAAGCCUGAUGCAGCGACGCCGCGUGAGGGAUGACGGCCUUCGGGUUGUAAACCUCUUUCAGCACGGAAGAAGCGAAAGUGACGGUACGUGCAGAGGAAGCGCCGGCUAACUACGUG
This 472-nucleotide ribosomal RNA is filed under the name uncultured bacterium. Its description in RNAcentral is "partial 16S ribosomal RNA". It matches the Rfam family "Bacterial small subunit ribosomal RNA", at positions 28 to 507 of the family's 1533-position model. The record is from RNAcentral.